GAUGAACGCUAGCGGCAGGCUUAAUACAUGCAAGUCAAGGGGGUAGCAAUACAACCGGCGCACGGGUGAGUAACGCGUACACAACAUACCAUAUACUGGGGUAUAGCUUCGGGAAACUGAAGGUAAUCCCCCAUAAUAUUGCGGGAAGGCAUCUUUCUGCAAUUAAAAGUUUCGACGGUAUAUGAUUGGUGUGCGUUUGAUUAGCUAGUUGGUAGGGUAACGGCCUACCAAGGCGACGAUCAAUAGCUGGCGUGAGAGCGCGACCAGCCACACUGGAACUGAGACACGGUCCAGACUCCUACGGGAGGCAGCAGUAGGGAAUAUUGGGACAAUGGGGCGAAAAGCCGUGUAUCCAGCCGAUGCCGCGUGAUAGAUGAAGGCCCUCUGGGUUGUAAAUAUC
RNAcentral lists this ribosomal RNA (400 nucleotides) under uncultured bacterium. RNAcentral describes it as "bacterial SSU rRNA". It matches the Rfam family "Bacterial small subunit ribosomal RNA", at positions 28 to 433 of the family's 1533-position model. The record is from RNAcentral.